GCAAGUCGAGCGAGCGGAACCAACAGAUUUACUUCGGUAAUGACGUUGGGAAAGCGAGCGGCGGAUGGGUGAGUAACACGUGGGGAACCUGCCCCUAAGUCUGGGAUACCAUUUGGAAACAGGUGCUAAUACCGGAUAAUAAAGCAGAUCGCAUGAUCAGCUUUUGAAAGGCGGCGUAAGCUGUCGCUAAGGGAUGGCCCCGCGGUGCAUUAGCUAGUUGGUAAGGUAACGGCUUACCAAGGCGACGAUGCAUAGCCGAGUUGAGAGACUGAUCGGCCACAUUGGGACUGAGACACGGCCCAAACUCCUACGGGAGGCAGCAGUAGGGAAUCUUCCACAAUGGACGCAAGUCUGAUGGAGCAACGCCGCGUGAGUGAAGAAGGUUUUCGGAUCGUAAAGCUCUGUUGUUGGUGAAGAAGGAUAGAGGUAGUAACUGGCCUUUAUUUGACGGUAAUCAACCAGAAAGUCACGGCUAACUAC
This 480-nucleotide ribosomal RNA is filed under the name uncultured bacterium. RNAcentral describes it as "bacterial SSU rRNA". It matches the Rfam family "Bacterial small subunit ribosomal RNA", at positions 57 to 504 of the family's 1533-position model. The record is from RNAcentral.